GUUACUGUUGUACAUACUUUGCAUAUAUCCAGAUUGGAUCUAAAUACAGAGACUGAGAAAUGCCUAUAUGUGGUUAUUAGAACUUUACUGAACCAACAAACAUAAUGUUGGCCUUAGACUUUUGCACAGCACUGUAUAAAAUUAAAUCAAACUG
Sphaeramia orbicularis (orbiculate cardinalfish) is the source of this 154-nucleotide long non-coding RNA. RefSeq lists it as uncharacterized. The transcript has 3 exons. The record is from RefSeq and is a predicted model, not a curated record. Lineage: Eukaryota; Metazoa; Chordata; Actinopteri; Kurtiformes; Apogonidae.